RNAcentral lists this long non-coding RNA (428 nucleotides) under Brassica napus (rape). RNAcentral describes it as "long non-coding RNA (BNAP_LNC005889)". The record is from RNAcentral. Lineage: Eukaryota; Viridiplantae; Streptophyta; Magnoliopsida; Brassicales; Brassicaceae.
UGGCACUUGGGUUUCCGAAUCCAUAACCAGCACCCUUAAGUCUGAUAGUGGCCUUCUGCAGAAAGCAGCAUGUAGCACGGGAACUCGAUAGUGACCAGUUUCCGAGCGGUAGAAUGCGAAAUCCCAAUAGGUAUCGGUAGUUGCCUCACCUAGGAUGGCAGAAUACGGUCCCUUAAAAUACAAAUCAAAUACCCCUGGGUUAUUAAGAACUUUCGGGUCGCCAUGCAGUCUCCGGGUCCUGAAAAAAUUUCUUCAGGACCUAGAAAAGGUAAACCUCUUGGUUCUUUAUAACCCUCGGGCCCAACAACGACCUUAGGGUCUGAAGGAACCUAUGGGUUCCCAAACGACCUCUGAGUCAAGAAGCAAUUUCCGGGUUUAAAACGACCUUAGGGUCCUAAAUACGACCUCAGGGUCUAGAGGAACCUCCG